UACGUAGGGUGCAAGCGUUGUCCGGAAUUAUUGGGCGUAAAGAGCUCGUAGGCGGUUUGUCGCGUCGGCUGUGAAAACCUGGGGCUCAACCCCGGGCCUGCAGCCGAUACGGGCAAACUAGAAUUCGGUAGGGGAGACUGGAAUUCCUGGUGUAGCGGUGAAAUGCGCAGAUAUCAGGAGGAACACCGGUGGCGAAGGCGGGGCUCUGGGCCGAUAUUGACGCUGAGGAGCGAAAGCGUGGGGAGCGAACAGG
RNAcentral lists this ribosomal RNA (253 nucleotides) under uncultured bacterium. RNAcentral describes it as "partial 16S ribosomal RNA". It matches the Rfam family "Bacterial small subunit ribosomal RNA", at positions 524 to 776 of the family's 1533-position model. The record is from RNAcentral.